Molecule: long non-coding RNA, 2040 nt
Filed under: Ananas comosus (pineapple)
Lineage: Eukaryota; Viridiplantae; Streptophyta; Magnoliopsida; Poales; Bromeliaceae
Description: long non-coding RNA (ACOM_LNC029326)
Source: RNAcentral
UUUCUUCGGACCCCAAAUCUAAUUGCAAAAUCAAAAAGGGACUUCUUCGGACCCUAAAUCCAAUCAAAAAGGGAAUUUCUUCGGACCCCAAAUCCAAUUGCAAAUCAAAAGGGAAUUUCUUCGGACCCCAAAUUAAAUUGCAAAAUCAAAUUCGGACCCCAAAUCAAAUUGCAAAUCCGAAUUAAGUUCACAUACGAACCCAAAUCCGAAUCAAGUUCCUAUACGAACCCAAAUCCAAAUCAAGUUCACAUACGAACCCAAAACCAAAUUAAGUCCACAUCCAAACCCAAAACCAAAUCAAGUCCACAACCCAUUCCACAAAUAAACCCAAAUCCAAAACCAAAUCAAGUCCACAUCCAAACCCAAAACCCAAAUCCGAAUCAAGUUCACAUACGAACCCAAACCAAAUCAAGUCCACAUACGAACCCAAAUCAAAUCAAGUCCACAUACAAACCAAAUCCGAACCAAGUCCACAAAUAAAGCCCAAAACCAAAACCCAAAUAAAAUCCGAACCCAAAUCCAAACCAAAUCAAAUCCAAACCCAAAACCAAAUAUAGUCUCCAAAUAAACCCAAACCCAAAACCCAAAUAAACCCAAACCCAAAACCCAAAUUAAAUCCGAACCCAAACCCAAAUUAAGUCCACAUCCAAACCUAACCCAAACCAAGUCCACAUAAAGAACCCAAACCCAUUUCACAAAUAAAAUCCAAACCCAACCCAAACCAAGUUUAUAAAUAAAACUAAAAUCCAAACCAAAAUCCAAACCAAAUCAAACCCAAACCCAACUCAAAUCAAGUCCACAAUCCAAAUCCAAACCCAAAACCCAAAUCCAACUUCCAACUUAGGCUCAUGAACCUAAACCAUAUCUAAGUUCGUGAAUCAAAUCUCAAAUCCUAUACCCAAGUUCAUGAAUCAAGUCUCAUGAACCAAAACUCAUAAACCAAGUUCAUGAACCAUGAACCAUGAAUCAUGAACCAUGAUCCAAGUUCAUGAACAAAAUCCCAUAUACCCAACUUCAUAAACUAUAAACCAAGUUCAUGAAUCAUGAAUCAAGUCCAUAAACCAAGAUUCAUGAGCCAAAUUCAUAAACCUCAUCCAUGAACCAUAUCCAAGUUCAUGAACCAAAUCUCAUACACCAAACAUCAUGAACCAUAAACCACAACCCACGCCCAUGGACCAAAUCCCAUAGCUUAUUCAAGUUCGUGAACCAAACACCACGAACCAUACCUAAGUCCCAUAAACCAUGAAUCAAGUUCGUGAACCAAACACCACGAACCAUACCUAAGUUCAUGAACCAUAAAUCAAACCCCAUGAACCAUACACCAAAUUCAUGAACCAUGAACCAAAUCUAUAAACAAAGUCCAUAAACCUCAUAAACCAAGUUCAUGAACCAUGAACCAUGAACCAUGAACCAAGUUCAUAAACCUCAUCCAUGAACCAUAUCCAAGUUCAUGAACCAUACACCAUAAACCAUAAACCAAGAUCAUAUAUCCAAACCUCAUGAACCAUACACUAAAUUCAUGAACCCAAUCCCAUAAACCAUACCCAAGUUCAUGAACUAAAUAUCAUGAACCAUACACCUCAUGAACCAUGCACCAAGUCCAUGAACCAAAUCUCAUACACCACAUCCCAUGAACCAAAUCUUGUACAUCCUAUACACCAAACCUCAAUGAAUCAAUACCCAAAUAUCAUGAACCAACACCCAUAUCUCAAGAACCAAUACCCAAAUCUCAUGCCCAAAGUUCAUCAUGAACCUCUUUUUGCUCUAGCUCAUAUACCUAGAGUGAAAAUUAAAUAUCGACUACCCCUAAUACAUAUACUUAGAGCUAAGUCAAUUGCCUUAGCACAUAUAACUAAGGCAAAACAUCUCCAACUCGACCGAAUUCUAAAUUAUAUACUUACAAUUCAGUCAAAUGAUAUUCGAACUCUAACACAUAUACUUAGAGUUCAUCCGACUAACCCUAAUACAUACCCUUAGGGUCUAGUCAACCUUUUACUCUAACACAUAUACCUAGAGUGAAAAUCAAACCAAGCUCGACUA